Acinonyx jubatus (cheetah) is the source of this 1199-nucleotide long non-coding RNA. RefSeq lists it as uncharacterized. NCBI's taxonomy places the organism in Eukaryota, Metazoa, Chordata, Mammalia, Carnivora, Felidae. The transcript has 2 exons. The record is from RefSeq and is a predicted model, not a curated record.
CUUAUCCCUGGUACAGAAGACAAGCCCCUGCCCCACGGCCCCAGCCUGAUCCCAGGCCGGUCGUGGAUCUUUCCUUCUUCUCUGGACCUUUCCUUGGGGGGUGGGGGUGGGGUCUCCCUGUCUCGCCUCUCUUCACUGCCAGUGGCACUGGCGGGACAUCCCCCCCCUUUCCAUGUCCACUUUCUCAGUAACCUGGGCUCUGAGGGCAGAAGGAGUGGGGUUCGACCUGCUUUGGGCCCUCCAGAGCUGCGAGGCGCCCCUGGCACAGUGAGCUUCUAGGACCCUGAGUAGCACGGGGACACCUCUCCGUCCUUCGGGGACCCACUUUGAAAGAGCUGAAAGAGGGAAAAGAUAGAUCCACUGGCAAAGUCUAGAGAGAGAUGGGCAAAGGAGGGGCCCCGGCUCAGACCCCAGAGGCCUAGAGCCCCAGAGUCUAGGCCACCAUGGAGGUGCCAUGGGCAAAGGUGAGCCAAGGGCCCAUUUCUUAAACGAAGGACAUUCACAGCGCCAAGUCCCGCAUUCAAGGGCUGUCUGGUAAGUCCUGUCCUGUCCAGCCAGGGUCACCCAGUCAGUGCUGUGACAGCAGCAGAGAGCUUGAGGCCUGUGGAGGAGGCUGGGGCAUCCAGCAGGAGGCUGAAGGAAAGGCCAUCUCUGCCACAGUGCUGCCACCAGGGGGCCACCCAGGGAGUGCCAGGGGGCACCUCAGGGACCCAGGUGGCCUCCCACCCAUCCCACACUCCUGGAUCCUGGAGGAGACCUUCCGGAGCCCCCGCUCCCCACCCCACCGCCUGGGCCCAGGGAACAUCCGCGGGGAAGGGGGGGGCGAGGCGACAAGGAGCAUAGACAGGUGGCGCCCCGCCUUCGCCCCCUCACCUCCGCCCCCCCCGCUGGGAUCCCGCGCGGUCAGAAACUGAGGAAACUGCGGGACUCCGGCUGGACUCUGGGCAGGAGGGCCUCGUCCACCCGGCUCCAGCCCAGGGACACCGAGCUGGGCGGUCCCCGUGGAAGCCGGAUCCUGGCGCUGGGCCCCGAGUCCGGGUGCAGAGACGGGGCCCCACCACGGCGCGAGCGGCAGCGGACUGGGGCUCUCGGACUCGUCCGCAGGGCCCCAAACAGACGCCAAGCCGGCCUCCGUGCGAGCGGGGCUGGCGACGACGGAGGGGUGGGGGUCCGAGAGUUCCCCCCCCCCCCGCCCCGCC